AUCACAUCUGCCUCUUCCUAUGGUUUUAUGGGUGCAGAGCAGUGGUCUCUCCCCUAGCCUCCAUGCUCAGAAAAAAAAAAAUUAACUUGACGUUAAACUCAAGUAUAUCUAUUUAUUUCAAAGAAAGAAUUCUUCAGAGGACCAGAUGUGACAUUGUUUAAGUUAAAAUGAGAAGGAAGACUUUGACCUAAAGUAUAAUCCUAGAGAAGAAAAAGGUUAGUUUUAUAAGCAGUUAACAAUUGCCCGGCUUUGUGUGGAAGCUCCUGAGAGCGACAGGCCGGCAGAGUAUACAGCGACGGUCAAAAAUGACUGUUUAUGUGGUUAAAGACGUUGACCGCAUAGGAAAAAAAAUUACUGCUAGAAACGCUAUCUUCCCGAAUCCAGAAGAGUCAAAGGUUUGCCGGCAAGCGAAUGCUGUUGUCGCAUGCCCUUGCCCGCGUGUGCAGCGAUCCCCAGGACCCUGGCCUCGCCUGCAUCCCGGGCAGGGAUGUCAAAACCCAUCACGACAUCGCCCUUGCUGCGCGUUGCUGCUAAGUCAUCCUGUGCUCAGCCGCAGGGAAUAGGAGCAGAGAUAAUGAAGCUGGGAAGAAAGGAGUGCUUUAGCGCCCAUCCGCCCCCCUCUGCUGUUACAGCCGGCAUGCAAAGGGGGUUUUGAAGCGACUGUAUACCAAAUUGCAAUAAACAAACAGGAGAAACUUUAUUGAUUCCUUUAUUCUUUGAAGAGCUAAGAUGUAGUAUAGAAAAUUGUGAACAGCACUAUUACAGAGCUUGAUAAGGCAGCUCUCAGAGCAGAACCAAGCGGAUGAGGGAAUUUACAGAUCACCUGCUGCCCUGAGACCUCGGGGCUUUCUGUAGGUAUCUCUGAAUACAGAAGAGCUGAGCCAGCAGGCAUUCAUCUUACGCUUUUCAGGUAAGAGGCUGGAACGGACCUGAUUUCUCCUUUGAUUCUCUCACCUAUUUGUGUCUGAGGUGCCAUGCUGGCCACUGGCAUUCAGAACAACAGCCUGUGAGCCAAAGUCAACCUCCCCUUAUGACUAAUCACACUUUUGGGCAUCAGUGUCUCUGAAGAAUCCUUUCAUUUAGAUGAGAUUUGCCAAAUACGCCACUAUAGAUGAUUCUUUUUUCUAAAGCAUAGAGAAUUUUACCAUAAUGGAUCUCACUGAUGUAAAUCUCUUCUGUUCACAAAUGUAAUCUGUAAACAAGUUUAUUUUUGGAGUUCCCAUUGUGGCUCAGCAGUAAUGAACCUGAGUAGUAUCCAUGAGGUUGCGGGUUCAAUUCCUGUCCCUGCUCAGUGGGUUAAGGAUCCUGCAUUCCUGUGUGUGNAGUCGGGACUUGGAUCUGGCUGUGGUAUAGGUCAGCAGCUGCAGCUCUGAUUCGACUGCUCGCCUGGGAACUUCCAUAUGCAGGUGCAACCCUUAAAAAUUAAAAAAAAAAAAAAAAA
RNAcentral lists this long non-coding RNA (1441 nucleotides) under Sus scrofa (pig). RNAcentral's name for it is "lncRNA (ENSSSCG00065077203.1)". Lineage: Eukaryota; Metazoa; Chordata; Mammalia; Artiodactyla; Suidae. The record is from RNAcentral.